Molecule: ribosomal RNA, 538 nt
Filed under: Aspergillus candidus
Lineage: Eukaryota; Fungi; Ascomycota; Eurotiomycetes; Eurotiales; Aspergillaceae
Description: eukaryotic LSU rRNA
Rfam family: 5.8S ribosomal RNA (bases 166-319)
Source: RNAcentral
UCCGAGCCCAACCUCCCACCCGUGUAUACCGUACCCUGUUGCUUCGGCGGGCCCGCCUCACGGCCGCCGGGGGGCCUCGCGCCCCCGGGCCCGCGCCCGCCGAAGACCCCAACACGAACACUGUCUGAAAAGUGCAGUCUGAGUCGAUUGUUACCAAUCAGUCAAAACUUUCAACAAUGGAUCUCUUGGUUCCGGCAUCGAUGAAGAACGCAGCGAAAUGCGAUAACUAAUGUGAAUUGCAGAAUUCAGUGAAUCAUCGAGUCUUUGAACGCACAUUGCGCCCCCUGGUAUUCCGGGGGGCAUGCCUGUCCGAGCGUCAUUGCUGCCCUCAAGCACGGCUUGUGUGUUGGGCCCCGUCCCCGGUACCCCCGGGGACGGGCCCGAAAGGCAGCGGCGGCACCGCGUCCGGUCCUCGAGCGUAUGGGGCUUUGUCACCCGCUCCGCAGGCCCGGCCGGCGCCAGCCGACCAACCCAACCAUUUUCUACAGGUUGACCUCGGAUCAGGUAGGGAUACCCGCUGAACUUAAGCAUAUCAAUA